CAUCUUAAAUUUUCUCUUAGCAAAAGUGCUAAAUAGGCCUAUGUACUAACAUUGAUUGUUCAUCUAGCACCAUGAAUUCAAAUAUGGUCCAUCUAGACUAUUAUAUUCCCAAUUAUUUUUCAUCUAGCAUUUUUAGCAAGUUUCUAACAAGUAACCCAUCUAAUUUGCUUA
Long non-coding RNA from Ipomoea nil (Japanese morning glory), 171 nucleotides. RefSeq lists it as uncharacterized. The transcript is spliced from 3 exons. The record is from RefSeq and is a predicted model, not a curated record. Lineage: Eukaryota; Viridiplantae; Streptophyta; Magnoliopsida; Solanales; Convolvulaceae.